CAGCCGUGUAGUGACAGGUUUCACACUUGGAACAAAAAGCGCGAGUGUUUAGUUGCUGCUGCUGCCCAGUUGUACUGAGCAAUUUUUAACGUUGAGGAUAGGUCGCACAGCCUGGAAUGACGCCGUGGGUCUGCAGGCUCAUACCGAAGGGGAAAUGGCGUGUAAACGGGGGAGAAUGAGUUUUAAGGAAUCUCAGGAGUGUCUGGUAUCAGUGAUUGCUGUGGAAGUUACCAGCUGCAACAGAAUAGAGAAACAGCCGAGUAGGAGGAGGGGGUUCAUUAUCUACAAUAAACAAUGGACACUUGAUGGAGAUGGACAAUGGAAGAUUAUGGAGAAAUGAAAGAAGAGAGAUGUGCUCUUGAUGGACUGAAAUGAUGAUAAGUAGCCCUAAAUUAGAACUGUUGUGAAGUCACCGUGAAAGGAACUAAGUGAACAAGAGUUUCGAAUUUAUCAACACGUGUUCAUACGCAAGGUGCAAAAGGGUUUCCUAAAAUAAAAUUAUUUUUAAAACAAAACAAACAAACAAAAAGCCAAACAACACUCAAGAUAAGAAGAUUUUACUGGGAGAACUUUUCUGUAGUUUUUAUAGAAGUUUGUUGAUUUGAGAAAUUUGACUGGGCUUUAAAAUAUAGUUGGAAAAUUACCUGUGAAGUUUACCCAUUACUGAUGUCUGAGAACAGGACUUCAUUACAUGGCUGUAGGCAUCCUCGACGGCUCUGUCUCCCUGCCCAUCCCAGCAAGGUUACAGGUAGGGCCUCCACUACUUCGAGCUUGUACAUCCAGUUCUCAGGAGAUGGAUUCCUGUGCCCCAUUGUCUGAGAUACCUCCCUGCCAUCUGCCACCUCCCAUCAGGGCACAAUGCCUCAGGAGGACAUCUGCUGGAGGUAACCCACUGUGAUCUUCCUAGGGAACAGAAACAGGACACGUGUGGAAGGAGAGAACGGGGUGUCGUGACCCACUUGGUAGGGUGCUCAAUGUUCUUUAUAACUUCUCAUCACACUGAACAAACACACCAAUCCAUGUGUCAGGGAACUUUUAUGUCCUAGUGUAUCUUAACUCCAGCAAAUAGCCUGAUAUUUAGUCUCAAAAAUGUUGACUAACAAGCCCUUAACUUUUACAACAAACUUCAACAAGCUCCCAACUCACGCAACAACCUUUAGGUUUCAGAAGUGUUGGCUGACAAACUCACAAUUUAAUAUGCUCCCAAUCCUAACAACAUUUCAGGUUCCCUAGUGGUCUGGAUUGGGGGUAAGAGAGAAGGAAGAGACAGACCAAUCCACUUUCUUGUACAGUUUAUCUGGUGCACAUGUGUUACAUAAAACACGUUUUUGCACUCUUUUGCUCAUGCAUGCAAUACUAAGCCCUUUAGAGACUACAGGUCUGUGGUGACCCUUGUAGUGAGGAGCCUUGUAGUGGGGGACUCACCCCUGUCUUGAUGCAGGCACACUGAGCGUGAGUCUCAAGGCAGCAAAGAAAGCUGGCUUCAUACAGCACUGCCCCACCUCCUCAGGACCCUCUUUUACAGUCACAACUUUCCUGUCACAACAGGCAGAAUGUUUGAGACAAAACAUGCUUACAUGCUUAUGCCUGGUUCUCCGUGAGGGGAGUAUGGUUGUCUGCCAAGCUGCAGAUCCCUCAUGGUGUGAUUCAUCCCAUUCAAAGGAAGUGGCAUCACUGAGACUCAUUUGUCCUUCAUUUCCCUUCAAAGAGAGAAACAUGGAAGACGUGGCCUUCAGAAGACUACUAAAAGUCUGCUUAUUUAGCACUUGAUCUUAGAUGCUUCACAAGAAAGACCAAGAAGUCACAGCCAGCUUUGUGUCUCAACCACAGAUUUAAAUGAAAUGCAUAGUGAGUGUUGGUGUUUUAUCUCCAUUAAGAAACUCCAUAUCUGGCUUCUAUACUUGCAGGAUAUUGAUCUUCUGUUCCAUAUAGUGAUCGAUUGCUUAGUUAACUGAAGGAACAGGCAUAGAGAAUGAGGUCAUGCUUACAUAGCUGACAGAAUCCUCACUGCUACAAGGACCCUCUGAAUUUGGAAUAAGCUCACACUACAGAUUUGAUUUGUGGUGAAUCUGAUUCCUGUAUUGGAUGUUCUCUGGUCUGCUGUUUUUAUCAAUCUGAUAUGUCAAAUUCAAUAGAUACCAAAAAUCCACCCUAAUCUGUUUAAACUGCAGAAAUGGAGAACAAACAAUCCUUAAUAUGCCACCUUGGCACAGGAUAAAAAGUAAUAAGCUGACUUUGAUUGUAACUGUCAUGUUUUUAUCUGUUGAAUACCACUUUAUUUUUAAAAACUGCAUUGAUCCUAUCCUAUGGUAAAUUUAAUAUCAGGUAUCUUGGAGGUCUGCAUAUUUAAGUGGCUUAAGAACAAGAUUAGCAGUAAAAUUGCAUUUCUGUGUUAUUAAAAAAAAAACUGAUUUCAUGUAUAUCACUGCAGGAAUUAGACUUAACAGGAAAAAAAUGAAUAAUCAUUGACGCUUCUGCAACUUCUACCAUUCCCAAAAUGUUUUGUUAAAAAAACCAAAACAACAAAACCAUGGGGGACUCACUUAAUACAUCUACAUCAAACAAAAUGCAAGAGCUGCUUAACUAUGCCAUGCAAUAACACAGAGUAGGUUAAUAGGCAGUUACUAUCCAUCUGAAAUUGUAGGAACUUUGUCAGCAGGGUGCUGUUAUUUAAAGUGGAAUUUGACCAGGAUAUGGGAGUUUUUUACAAAACAGUUAUUGUCUGCUGAUUAAGAUAGAGGACACUUCCACAGAACAGUAUCAUUAAUGGCCUACGUUCAUUUAUAAAGCCAGAGUUGUAAGAACAAAACUGCCUCACAACAGAAAAUCUCCAGGUUUCCAGUCUGCAAGGUAUCUGCCUUCAGGCAGUUGUUAAGAGGACAGGCACAGUUGCAGAAGAAAUGUCACUGAUUUUGAACUGGGCUAAAAUAUUCUAUAUUAAGACAGAACUAACAUAAUUCAAGAAUUUGCAGUGACACUUCAGCAUUUAUGUUCUUGGUCAGCUGAGCUUCUCCUGGGAUAUCUUACUAAGAGCCAAAUCCCUAGCAUAAGUGAUAGCAACUGAAUCCAAACAAUUCCAUGUUGGACUUUGUCUUCACUAAGGAAAACUUAGGGUAGAGGCAGAAAGAAAAAGAAGUUUCAUUUAGUUAGAACAAUAUCUCAUUAUAUGUAUUAGGUGGUUAAAAUAAUCUUAUGCUCCUGCCUGUUUACCUUCAUCAAGAUAGCAUGUAAUAACUACAAACCACCUUGUUCAUAUUAGGAGAAAAACACCCCUAUCAGUUAUUAUUUUCUUUCACCUAUGUAAUACUAUAAGUAAAAUUUAGUUGAUGUAUUUUUGUAUUUUAUGGGUGUUGUGAUAUCAAGUUACCAGUCCAUUUCACCUUACUUAAUUAUGGAAAAAAUUCAUUAAAACUCUUCAGUGAUUCUAAAUAAAAACUAGAACUUUCAUUCUACUGUAAAUUUCAAGAUGUUUGGUUUGCUUUGAUUCAGAAAUUUUAAAUUUUAAAAUAUUGGACCUUGUUGCAGGAUGGAAUUUCUAAGUAGAUCUAAUAUUAAGUAUGAGCCUGAAUCUUAAGCAAGUUCCAAUCAUUUAUUAAUGUUACUCUAAUGAAAAAAUGCUUUUACCUGUCAAGAUAGACUGUACUCCAUUGCCCAUGCAAUUCAUUUACCAGAAGUUAAUUGCUUGCCAAUCACAAGUGAUUUACAGACCUGUUUUCCUCACACUGACCAACCUUCAAUUAAUUAAAAAUUAAAACAGUAUAAAAAUCUAUUUUAUUUCUUUCCCAAAAUAGCUUCAUAGAGGCCUUAUUCUCAAGUACAGAUAUGUACAAUACAUGUCCUAUUGAGACAUUAAUAUUUUACAAUAUUUUCUGAUACCACAACUCAAUGGAUUCAAAAUUCUGCAAUGUAUAAAUAUCUCACAGGUAUCCUGCUUAGUGUCAGUUUACCUCACCAUUUGUUCCACAAAAGCUGCUAGUUACAGCAGUCCUUGUGCUUGACAUCUGUUAAAAACAUCUGUGAAUUACUUCAACUGCUUGUAAAAAUGAAUUAGGGAACUUGUUAUGGUCUAAACCCACUAGCACUUAUUUAUUAAUUAGAUUUCAGUAACUAGUUUGUGAACUUGAAUAACUUGUAUGCCAGAUGUCUUAUGCUGAAACAAGAAGCCAAGAAGAUGGGGGAAGGGAGCAGCAAGUGAGUGAUGUGCAUUUAAAAACAGCUGUGUAGAUUACCAUUUUAAAGAAAAUCCUUUGUUUAUUAUGUGCUUCUUUGUAACUGUCACAUGAUAGAAUCUAAUUAUUUAGAUAGGAAAUUAACAGAUAGCUGUUUGGUUGUUGCUGAAUGGGGAAGGCCUUCUUUUGCUUUCCUGUAAAUUCUGAGCUCUUUGGGGUUUUUUUAGUCCCUUUAAAAUCCACCUAUCACUUCUAUUUUUUAACGUUUCAUACCCUCUCUCAGUGGAAACGGGGCCACAUUCUUUCCCAGUGAAUAACACCAGCAACAAAAGAAACUCAAAUUUAGAAAGCCCCAGGCCAUCUUACAGUUUCAGCGACAUAAAAGGACAGUCGCUCCUUCUAACAGGACAGUCUACAGUUUCCAAUUUAUUUAAGGACUAGGCAAAAAUUAGUUAGCUUGUACCUGUCAAAUUCAUGACGAUUCCAAGUUGAAAGAAUGAGGGAAUCAUAUCUUAAGAUAAGCUCCACUCCACCCUGCUCUAGCUUAUGACAUUCAGAUUGGUCUCUGCAACCUGAUACACACAAUUCAGCAUGGAGCAGAGGUGGUGUCAUUUGGAUCUGGGCCCAUCUGUAAUAGACAACUUAUUAAAAACCCAAACAAACAAACAAACCAACCCCAAACAAAACCAGUUGAUAACAGUUGAUACAACCAGCAUAAAAACAUGUUUAAGCUGUUUUCAAAAAGAUGAUCAAACACUGAACUCUUUCAGCCACUUUAUUCCUCUGAUUACAUUUCCCAAGACCUGGAAGAAUGAACUAGCUAAUUUAAAAGAACACUGAAAGAGGAGUAGUUCAAAUUUUCUGUGUAGUUCUUCAAUUUCUGAGUUGAGUAUUUCUUCUUGUAUGCAGUGGUGAUGGUUAGGAGACAAAAAUGUGUACCUUAAAACUUCAGUGAGAGUUUUCUUUUUGUCUCAGUUUUUAUUAUGAACUUGCCUAUUUUCCAUGUACAAAAAAUACAUUAAAUAUACUACACGGUAGAAGAGUGAAAGAGGAAAAGGUAUACUGUAUAUUACACAUUCAGCAGAACAAAUUUCCAAUUUCCCCCUCAUCCACUGUGCUGGGUUUGGGUGGGGUAAUUUUCUUUACAGUGGCUGGUAUGGGGCUGUGUUUUGGAUUUGUGCUGAAAGCAAGGUUGAUGAUACAACAGAGCUGUUUUUCUUACUGCUGAGCAGCCCUUACACAGUGUCAAGAUAUCUUCUGUGAGGAGGCUGGAGGUGCACAAUGUGUUGGUAAAGGACACAGCUGGAGCAGCUGACCCCAACUGAGCAAAGGGAUUUUCCAGACCAUACAGUGUCAUCCUCAGGAUGUAAAGCUGGGGGAAGAACAAGAAACGGAGGGACAUUUUGAGUGGUGGCAUUUGUACUUCCAAAUACACGUGAUGAAGCCUUGAUUUCCUAGGGAUGGCUGAACACCUGCCUGCCCAUGGGAAGUGGUAAAUGGAUUCUCUGGUUUCUUCUGCUUGUGCAUGAGGCUUUUGCUUUACCUGGUAAACUGUCUUUAUCUCAGCCCAUGAGUUUUCUCACUUUUACCCUUCCUAUUCUCUUUCCCUUUCCACUGUGAGAGAAUGAUUGAGCAGCUGUGUGGGACUUGGUUGCUGGCUGGAGUUAAACCACAACAUCCAUAUACGUGUUGGUAAUUAUUUUCCUCAGCAGUUUGAUGCAGUUUGUGACUCUUAAAGACACAUGUUUUUGGACUUUCCUAGUUGUUUCUGGUUAUGCAUGUACUUUUCAAAUUCAGCAAUUAUAAAAGGCAUAUACAAGUAAAUCUAUAUCUAGAUUAUGUUCAAACCCAUCAAUGGGAUGAAAUAGAAAACAAACAUUUCCAUAAUUUAAGCUUGUUUCAUUUAUUUUUCAAAACUUUACACUGUCAUGUUCACUGCUUUAGUGACUGCAGCCACAAUCACACAUAUGUUCUUCCCAGGUCUCAGCAAGAAGACUAACCAUGCAGCAUCAAACCAGUAAGCAGGACAUAUGCAUACAGAAAUAAAAGCUCCCAAUAUAUUUUGAUGUAGCUCUCUAGUUGACCUGAAACUCUCCUUCAUAUGUAAACAGGGGUCAAAAGAAAUCCACAACAAUCUUAAUUUUAACUUUGAAUUUUAUUAGUAUACUCUGUUUUUAAAAAUCUUCUCGCAAGUUUGUUCAGCUAGUUUCCAAAGAGAUUAUUGUAGUGGCUGUUAAAUAUGGAAAGCCAAAAUCAAAAUUGAAAGGAGCCUUUAUAUUUGGUAAAUAGAACUGUAGGUGUAACUCAUUUUAAGAUAUGUAACAGAACACUUAAUUAUAUUGUUCUCAGAAUUUGGCUUCUCCAGUUAAUCUUGAAUUUGGCAAAAUUGUACUUAUAGAUUACAAAUAAGGAUAUUUAAAAGAUACUUACAAUUCACUCUGUGCUAUUUAUUUCACCUUCUGUCCCUGCAUUUUUUGUUUGCUCACAUGAAACUCCUACUGCCCAGCCAGCUGCAGAUUUUCUACUGCAUGUGUUCAUCUUUGCUCAUUCCAUUUCUCCUGUUCAUUUACACCUUCCUGAGUCCCAUUUCCCACACCCAGCAGCAGGUCAAUGGACAAAUGUUUUGGAAAGGAACAGCGAGACGAACACCAAAAUAAGGCAUUGGUAAGACAGAAAAAAUAUUAUUGCAAGUUUGCUUAAAUUCAGGAAACUGUAAAGCCUUUGGGGUUUUUUUUGCUCAUAGAUUUUGUCACCAUUUGUGUACUUCUUUUAGUGUUAUUUUGUACCUGCUAUAUGAAGGAGCUUCCUUAGGGGAUUUAAGAAGCUAUUGCUUUCCUCUAGAAAUUAAAUUAUUUUGUUCUUACUGUAUUCAGAAUCUGAUAGACUUGUCAACAUGUUUUUUCAUUUAAAUAGAAAAAUUCAUGCCUAACAGUGCAUCCAGGCAGCUAAAUGAUACUGAAAAUGGAUGAAAAAUGUGGUUCACUCCAGUUUUCUUCUGGAUUAGAGGUGACUGCUGAGCAGAUCUUGAAGGUUUAAAAAUUGAUUAAAUAUAGGUCAAUGGCAUUUCAUAAACAAGACCUGGCUACAUCUAAAAUAGCGACUUAAAUGUUCACAUGGUGGCUAGAAGUAUUUUUCUGCCUUAUUAAAGGAUUUAGAUAAAGGAAGUUUACAAUUUUAGUGAGUGCUUCCCUGAAAAUGUAAAUGAUUAGGUAUAAGAAUGCAGUGUCUGGAAGAUAAAAAGCAUGGUAUGGAGAUAUACUUAAGAAAGCAAGUGUUUAUGUGCUUGAUACAGUGUAGUUAUAGUAUAUUACACAGAGCACACACGAGCUGCCUUGCCAAAUUCAGAUAGGCUAUAAAUAGUGGUAUUAGAUGCUGGUGAAAUUCUAAGUGGAUACAUGCCAGUCUACUUUACAAACAGUAAUCCCUCUGCUAGCAUUAGUAGCACCUUCAUUGAUCACUCCAUCAUCAUGGACUUUUUUUUAUUGCUUCAUGAACAAUUUUUGGCUAAAAAUCUGUAUGUUAUUAACACAGUUUUUAUAUUACCUAGCACUUUUGUCAAGACACCAAUUCAAUGUCUGCUUUGUCAAGCACCCACACAAGUACUGGCUCAAAUAACCUUAUUUAGUAUCUCUGCUGCCAAAUAUCCUGAAUUUAGGAAGAUGUUCUUCCACUGAUACUCAUUAUUCCUUGCUGCUGGAUCACUAUGUUGUCAGUGUGUUGCUACUGGCUGAUGAUCUGGAUGCAAACAUCCAGUCCAUUAAAUGAAGUAGAAUUGUAAGGAUGAAGUGACUGGAGCAGCACAAACCAAAGAAGUAAUUCUAUUUCAUAAAUUCAAUGCAAAUUGUUUUUUACGAGGGUUUGAAAUUCCAGGUUUCAUAUUCAGGUUCCAAAAUGGCAUAGUGGUGUAAUGUUUUAAUGAUUAUUCCCUUGAGCCAUUCACAGAACACAUUGACUGGAUCAUCAUUAGUUGUUCCCCUAGUGCAUAAACCUAUAUGAUCAAUAUAUUUCCUGACUUUGUUCAAAGGCAAACUAUAAUGAUUCUGUUGCUCACACAGUCAUAUACACACAGUUUGAUGCUUCCCUGUGUUUGACAAAUGCAACCCUGUUUUAAGCCUCUGAAUACACCACAUAACCUAUCCAUCAAUGUGAAAUGACCCCGUCAUUAGAGCACAGCUCUGAGGCUGCACAUCCAUUCAUCAAAUGUCUUUCUUUGACCAUAAUGGUAAAUUCCAAGUUCAUACUAAUUUGUAAAAUUUCAUACCAUUAUUUUCAUUACUGCGAGCAGCAGACAUUAUAUCCAAUAGAAGAAUUAGCAAUAGCAGCAUCAUAAAUACAAUUACAAAAUGACUUUUCACAAAACUUCCACAAUCACUUAAUCAGAACUUGUUAGUACUACACAUGUUCUCAUUUUUUAGUAGAUCAUAGGACAGUUCUUAUUUAUUGGGGCAGGGGGAGAAACUCAUUGUUUAGCCUCCAGAAAACAGCUGUCAUUGGCUAAAUAUACUGCCAAACUUUCCCAGCAGUAUUUCCUCUAAGUCCCACACACUCAGAAUUUCCCCAAAUCUGCCUUGUUAAUUGAAAAAAUACAAAGUGAAUAGAAAGAAUCAUGUGCUACUAUUAAAACAAAGGUAACUGCAAACUUCCAUGUAGCCUGGCUGGGACAAAAAAAAAAAAAUUCUCAGAAGGACUUCACAGAAUGGAAAAGCCGAGUUUGAAGUGGGCUUCUUUGAAAUGACCUUCAGCUGAUAACUUAGCACUCUGUCACAACCACAUCUGCUGUCCACCAAGUAUUAGAGAGACAAUAAAAGGCUAAGGAAAAACACAGGGUAUUCCUGAGUAUGCCAUAAAUAAAAUAAUCUUACUUAAUAAAAACAGUGUAUUAGCCAGCUUCAUUAUUAGUGGUCUCUAGCCAUAGAGGCUGUUCAUAAGUUCAGUUUACCUGGGAUCAAAUUUACCCAAUCAGAACCUGUCACAUAGAAACUAGAAAAUUUUGAAGAAUAGUUGAUCUAUCCAUGGCUUCCCUUAUAAAAGCUUGGAAAAAAAAAUUUCACCAUGGAAAUAGAAAGAUUUGACUGGUGAAAUGCCUAAUUUUUUGCUGUUGCAACUUAUCAAUGUGACUUUUGAGAAAUUAUUGACUGUGACAAAGAAAAUUGAAGCUUUUGUGAUAUGGUGCAAGCAAAGACAUAUCUUCUGGACAGAAAGGAUGAUAAAUGCACAUAUUAAAUAUAUUAUUGGAGAAAAGUAGACUUGGUUGUCAGAAAUGAAUAGGUGUAAGUGUAUGUGCUUUGGACACAUCAGGAGCAGAGAUGGAAAUAACCUUGAGAAUGUAAUUAUGGAGUGAAUGGUGACAAGUCAUCAUAAUUGAGAGCAGCUAGAAAGGAGGUGGAUAGAUGACAUGCAGUAGGCUGCUGUAACUUCAGUUUCUGAAUGUUCAAAACUAGCAAUAGAUCAUGGAGGCUUCUAAAAAUUCUCCUGUGAAAUCACCAAUCUGCAGGUGCCAAUAAAUUGAUUUUACUUCACUUGCAAGCAAAUGAAAGAAGUGCAAUCAUUCUGUCAAUAGAGUGGUUUGUAAAUUAAAAAUGUAUUAAUAAAUAUACACUUUUUCACAAUGGCUUAAAUGUUAUGUACAGUGACAAUCUUCACCAUUUCUGAAUGAAUAUACAGUCUUUAUAUAUAUCAUAUAUGAUAUAUAUAUAUAAUAAUGUGUGUAUGAUAUAUAGAUAUGAUAAUGUGUGUGUGUGCGUUGGGGGACUAACAAAUCAAGAGCAGCCCUGUGCAAAAACCAUUUGGUGAUGCUGGUGGGUGAGAGGCUGGACAUGACCCAGCCAUGGGCACUCACAGCCCAGAGAGCCAAACGUGUCCUGGGCUGCAUCCAGAGCCCCGUGGGCAGCAGGGGAGGGAGGGGAUUCUGUCCCUCUGCUCUGCUGAGACCCACCUGCAGGGCUGCAGCAGCUCUGGGGCCCAGCACAGCAAGGACACAGACCUCUUGGAACUGGUCCAGAGAAAGGCCAUGAUGAUAAUCAGAGGGCUGGAGCAUCUUUCCUGUGAGGAAAGGCUGAGAGAGCUGGGGUUACUCAGCCUGAAGGAAGACUCCUGGGUGACCUUGUAACAGCCUUCCAGUACCUAAAGGGGACUUACAGGAAUGAUGGUGACAGACUUUUUAGCAGACUCUGUUAUGAUAAGACAAGGGGUGAUGGUUUUAAACCAAAAGAGUGUAGAUUUAGUCUAGAUACAAGGAAAA
Molecule: long non-coding RNA, 10410 nt
Organism: Passer domesticus (house sparrow)
Lineage: Eukaryota; Metazoa; Chordata; Aves; Passeriformes; Passeridae
Exons: 3
Source: RefSeq, a predicted model, not a curated record